This 65-nucleotide transfer RNA is filed under the name Mesocestoides corti. Its description in RNAcentral is "tRNA-Leu". The record is from RNAcentral. Lineage: Eukaryota; Metazoa; Platyhelminthes; Cestoda; Cyclophyllidea; Mesocestoididae.
AUAAGUAUGCCAGAUUUAUGGGUUUGAUUUAGGUUCAUAUUAUGGUUAUUUUUAACUUACUUAUU